RNAcentral lists this ribosomal RNA (640 nucleotides) under uncultured bacterium. RNAcentral describes it as "bacterial SSU rRNA". It matches the Rfam family "Bacterial small subunit ribosomal RNA", at positions 892 to 1531 of the family's 1533-position model. The record is from RNAcentral.
GGCUUAAACUCAAAGGAAUUGACGGGGACCCGCACAAGCGGUGGAUGAUGUGGAUUAAUUCGAUGCAACGCGAAAAACCUUACCUACCCUUGACAUGCCAGGAACUUGCCAGAGAUGGCUUGGUGCCCGAAAGGGAGCCUGGACACAGGUGCUGCAUGGCUGUCGUCAGCUCGUGUCGUGAGAUGUUGGGUUAAGUCCCGCAACGAGCGCAACCCUUGUCACUAAUUGCCAUCAUUUGGUUGGGCACUUUAGUGAGACUGCCGGUGACAAACCGGAGGAAGGUGGGGAUGACGUCAAGUCCUCAUGGCCCUUAUGGGUAGGGCUUCACACGUCAUACAAUGGUCGGUACAGAGGGUUGCCAAGCCGCGAGGUGGAGCCAAUCCCUUAAAGCCGAUCGUAGUCCGGAUUGCAGUCUGCAACUCGACUGCAUGAAGUCGGAAUCGCUAGUAAUCGCGGAUCAGCAUGUCGCGGUGAAUACGUUCCCGGGUCUUGUACACACCGCCCGUCACACCAUGGGAGUGGGUUCUGCCAGAAGUAGGUAGCUUAACCGCAAGGAGGGCGCUUACCACGGCAGGGUUCAUGACUGGGGUGAAGUCGUAACAAGGUAGCCGUAGGGGAACCUGCGGCUGGAUCACCUCCU